CUUCAAAUAAUUGAUGGGGUUUUUUUUGGAAAGUCUGUGAGUUGAGUGACAGAAAGGACGAACGAAAUGUCUUUCAAGAACAAGUUAGCAGAGCCGCCUUCUAAGAGCGUAGUGUCUAGGAGAUGGACCUUAUUGUUUUGUGUCGGCAGCUUUUUUGUUGGAAUGCUCUUCACUAGCAGGUAUUUCGCCAUUUGAGGUUUCUUCUUCUUGAGUUCCCACCUGUUUUAUAUCUUUAA
Telopea speciosissima is the source of this 236-nucleotide long non-coding RNA. RefSeq lists it as uncharacterized. The transcript has 3 exons. The record is from RefSeq and is a predicted model, not a curated record. NCBI's taxonomy places the organism in Eukaryota, Viridiplantae, Streptophyta, Magnoliopsida, Proteales, Proteaceae.